ACACCUCAACUCUCAUGGUCCGCCAUGACGAGCUUGGACUUUGGGGGUCUUGCCGGCCUAGCGUCGGCUCCUCUCAAACGGAUCAGCUCGCCAGUGUUUGGUGGGGUCACGGGUGUGAUAACUAUCUACGCUUGUGGUCUUCCGCCAUGCAACCUUCAGCGAUGGAGGUUCACUGGAGCUCACAGAUGUCUUUCCCUUGCGAGGACAGCUUUUGAAC
Molecule: unclassified non-coding RNA, 217 nt
Filed under: uncultured Tomentella
Lineage: Eukaryota; Fungi; Basidiomycota; Agaricomycetes; Thelephorales; Thelephoraceae
Description: sequence contains ITS2
Source: RNAcentral